RNAcentral lists this ribosomal RNA (482 nucleotides) under uncultured bacterium. RNAcentral's name for it is "partial 16S ribosomal RNA". It matches the Rfam family "Bacterial small subunit ribosomal RNA", at positions 30 to 507 of the family's 1533-position model. The record is from RNAcentral.
AUUGAACGCUGGCGGCAUGCCUUACACAUGCAAGUCGAACGGUAACGGGCCUUCGGGUGCCGACGAGUGGCGAACGGGUGAGUAAUACAUCGGAACGUGCCCGAUCGUGGGGGAUAACGAGGCGAAAGCUUUGCUAAUACCGCAUACGAUCUACGGAUGAAAGCAGGGGACCGCAAGGCCUUGCGCGGACGGAGCGGCCGCUGGCAGAUUAGGUAGUUGGUGGGAUAAAAGCUUACCAAGCCGACGAUCUGUAGCUGGUCUGAGAGGAUGAUCAGCCACACUGGGACUGAGACACGGCCCAGACUCCUACGGGAGGCAGCAGUGGGGAAUUUUGGACAAAGGGCGCAAGCCUGAUCCAGCCAUGCCGCGUGCAGGAUGAAGGCCUUCGGGUUGUAAACUGCUUUUGUACGGAACGAAAAGCCUUCUUUUAAUACAGGAGGGUCAUGACGGUACCGUAAGAAUAAGCACCGGCUAACUACGUG